This is a long non-coding RNA of Fukomys damarensis (Damara mole-rat), 326 nucleotides long. RefSeq lists it as uncharacterized. The record is from RefSeq and is a predicted model, not a curated record. The transcript has 3 exons. Lineage: Eukaryota; Metazoa; Chordata; Mammalia; Rodentia; Bathyergidae.
UGUUGCUAAGCAACCUUUCACCGCUUUAAUUCUAAAUACAAUUUCCGGCCUUCAAGGGAAACAUUUAUGCUGUCCCAGGCACUGUAGAAGACAUUGGGAUAUAAAGAAGAGUGUCGACAAGGUUCUUGGCUUCUUGAGACUUACUCUCUAGUGUAAAGUUGAAUAUAUGAAUGAAUAAAUAAGAGAACUGCUGUUCGUACAAAUGCGAUGACAGAGCCAGACCAGGGUCUGGGCCUUCAGAGUCCAUCAGGAAAGGAAGUAACGGUCAUUAAUUUGGUUUCCUUACAACUUGGUGACAUGAGAAAACUUAACUGGAGAGCUGGGAG